GACGAACGCUGGCGGCGUGCCUAACACAUGCAAGUCGAGCGGAGGUACUUGAGGAGUAAUCUGAGGGUACUUUAGCGGCGGACGGGUGAGUAACGCGUGAGCAACCUGCCUUUCACAGGGGGAUAAGGCGGCGAAAGCCGCUCUAAUACCGCAUGAGACCACGGGGAUGAUAUUCCAGGGGUCAAAGGAGCAAUCCGGUGAGAGAUGGGCUCGCGUCCGAUUAGGUAGUUGGUGAGGUAACGGCCCACCAAGCCAAUGAUCGGUAGCCGGCCUGAGAGGGUGAACGGCCACAUUGGAACUGAGAGACGGUCCAAACUCCUACGGGAGGCAGCAGUGGGGAAUAUUGGGCAAUGGGGGAAACCCUGACCCAGCAACGCCGCGUGAGGGAAGAAGGUUUUCGGAUUGUAAACCUCUGUUCUUGGAGAAGAGAAGAAGACGGUAUCCAAGGAGGAAGCCCCGGCUAACUACGUG
This 471-nucleotide ribosomal RNA is filed under the name uncultured bacterium. RNAcentral's name for it is "bacterial SSU rRNA". It matches the Rfam family "Bacterial small subunit ribosomal RNA", at positions 28 to 507 of the family's 1533-position model. The record is from RNAcentral.